This 340-nucleotide transfer-messenger RNA is filed under the name bacterium. It matches the Rfam family "transfer-messenger RNA". From Rfam's summary of the family: Bacterial tmRNA, also known as 10Sa RNA or SsrA, is named for its dual tRNA and mRNA-like properties. Its role is to liberate the mRNA from a stalled ribosome. The record is from RNAcentral.
GGGGGUGUACGGAUUCGACGGGGGUUAGAGCCUCGUAGGGUGCAUGCCCUAAGCCCCGGGUUAGUGGGUAAGCACAAUAAGUGCAAACGCUAACUACGCUUUGGCUGCCUAAUUAAAGGCAGCAGGCUCGUAAUCUUCCACCCACCUGGGAGAUUGCGAGCUUAAUAUAGAGGUGGGGGUAGAUAAUCUUGGUCCCGGGUUAUCUACCUACGAAGGGACCUACGCCCUAAGGGUUUUGGCAAGCUUUCCCUUAGGGAAGAGAACAAAAGCUUGCCUAAGCAUGUAGGACCCUACAGGGCUUGACCCUCGGACGCGGGUUCGAUUCCCGCCACCUCCAAUU